Molecule: ribosomal RNA, 235 nt
Filed under: uncultured bacterium
Lineage: Bacteria
Description: partial 16S ribosomal RNA
Rfam family: Bacterial small subunit ribosomal RNA
Source: RNAcentral
CGGACGGGUGAGUAACGCGUGGGUAACCUGCCUCAUACAGGGGGAUAACAGUUGGAAACGACUGCUAAUACCGCAUAAGCGCACAGGAUCGCAUGAUCCGGUGUGAAAAACUCCGGUGGUAUGAGAUGGACCCGCGUCUGAUUAGCUAGUUGGUGGGGUAACGGCUCACCAAGGCGACGAUCAGUAGCCGACCUGAGAGGGUGACCGGCCACAUUGGGACUGAGACACGGCCCAA